Molecule: ribosomal RNA, 493 nt
Filed under: uncultured bacterium
Lineage: Bacteria
Description: bacterial SSU rRNA
Rfam family: Bacterial small subunit ribosomal RNA
Source: RNAcentral
AGCGAACGUUUGCGGCGGGCCUAACACAUGCAAGUCGAACGCACUAGCAAUAGUGAGUGGCGCACGGGUGCGUAACACGUGGGUAAUCAACCCUUCAGCUUGGGAUAACGACUUGAAAGGGUCGCUAAUACCGGAUACGGCGAGAGAGGCUUCGGCAUUUCUCGAGAAAGCCUCGCAAGGGGCACUGAAGGACGAGCCUGCGGCCCAUCAGCUAGUUGGUGAGGUAAGAGCUCACCAAGGCGAAGACGGGUAGCUGGUCUGAGAGGAUGAUCAGCCACACUGGAACUGAGACACGGUCCAGACUCCUACGGGAGGCAGCAGUGGGGAAUAUUGCGCAAUGGGCGAAAGCCUGACGCAGCCACGCCGCGUGAGCGAUGAAGGCCUUCGGGUCGUAAAGCUCUGUGGGGAGAGACGAAGAAAGCCCGUGAAGAGCGGGCCGUUGACGGUAGUCUCCUUAGCAAGCACCGGCUAACUCCGUGCCAGCAGCCGCGGU